AGACACCGCUCAAGCUCAUCUCAGCCUUAUCCCCAAGUUGCCUCCUCUCUGCUGAUUCCAUGGAGCAUCAGCCGAUCUCCUCUCCUGCGACUCGCCUCCCUCACGGCGCCCUCCAUGCUCCUCUCUCUCUCAUCUCUGCAACUUGGACGGCCAGCAUGGAGCUUGCCCCAGCCCUCUCCCUCUUGGUUCUCUGCUGGUCGCGCUCCUCUCCAUGGGCGCCCAGGUCUCUUCCCCAUGGUGGCCGACCCUAUGCCCAGCUCGCCCCCAUGUCCGAAUUCCGAAGGCAGCCGUCUCUACUCCCCUUGCCAUGGCGACCUCGCCUUCACUGCAUCUAUUUCUUCUCCAAGCCGACGUCGUCUCCCUCUAUCUUUCUCUCUGCUGCAGCGCCUAGCGCCCUCAUUUUCCCAGCCAUGGACAACAAUGUCCCUCUACUCCUUCCCCAUGGCUAUGCACCUCUCUGUAGCAGCACGUUCGCAACGCCGUCGACCCUCGGUAUGGCACUUAGGGUAAUUGGGAUGAAGUGGAAUGUUUCAGCACAUCAUCCACCAGGUGUUCGGUGAAAGGUCCAAGCCAAAAGUCGUUGUCAUUUUAGAAUAUAUCGAGUCGAUUCGAAUUUGGUACAUUAAUUGAUCACCAAUUACGAAGGACACGGGAUGGAUUAAUCUCAAGUGAAGUUGAUGAAUGAACCUGAAGCUGGAUAAUCUGAUCGAGUGCUAGAUUGGGAGAUACUCGCCAAAUGAGUGUCAUCUAGCAACACUGUCAGUACCCUAGAACAGGGGUACCCGUUACUACAGUAUGAAGGCACGGCGUCCACACGGCUAUCUUUAGUCGCGCAGUGAACAACACCCAACCCCUCCACGUGGGUGGCUCCGGGGCCGCCACGUGGCCAGAGGAGACGAUAUACUCCAAGGUGGCGACAGUGGGUCCGGACCCCCACGGGAAAGUGCUAGACCCCUGGAUGCACAGCCCGGACUUCCUAGCGGGGUUCAAGACCUCGAAAGGUACAAACCAGACCACCGGGACGGGUCCCAGACCCCUCAGGAGGGGACCGGGCUACUCACAGUAGGGCCCCAGGAUUCUAAGGAAAAGAAUACCCAGGCCUCAAUCAAGGCCAGGCGUGUAACACCUCAGGUGUUACCAUGGCCAGAGCACAUCUAUGCACUGAUGACUGUGAUCACAUGUGGUAGAAACUUGAGAAGAACAUAAGAACCUUGGAGACCAUGUGUUAAUCAAGAUUGUUAAUGACCUAAGAGCAUCACUCAAGCUUUUGUGCACUUACUACCUUGGGCAAGAGGAGAGUAAACCCUAGACCUCUCUUGAACCCUAUCUCCCAAAACCAUGGUUGAGAGGGGGAGAGAAUAAGCAAAUGUGCAAAUCAUGAGUUAAUCUUUAACCAAACUUUAAGUAACUUUAUAACCAGCAAAUAUGGGAAGGAAAUGUUGCAAAAAGACCCCUUGAGAAACCCCAAAUCCCUUCCUUAAGUAGAGAAAGAGCUAGAGCUCUCAAAUUCCCUCUAAGUCAAAAACUACACCUAAUCUAAAGAUCAACCGUGUUCACCUUGAAGAUGGCAUCAAAACCACCUAAGUUCUAUACCAAAAAUGUGGCAUAUCACCUAGGGCACCCACUGGAAAAAGUUGAGCCCGAGACCUUGACGUUUGACAUGCCUUGGCAUUGUUUUUGUCGCGAGGUGGGCAGAGAGACAUACCUGAUUUGGCGUCCAAUGAUCUCCCUACCUAGGGCAUAUCUGACAUGGCGACUCACGGAUGAGAGACAACCCUAGGUGCCAGGAAAAGACUCGCGCCGGAUUUUUGCCAAGAUUCGCACGUUUGUGACUUGGGCGAGCUGUGGAACAUGGGCAGAAGAAAACCUACACGUGUUCGACGCGCUCUGUGCACGCCAGAGCACGCCCGUGCGCGCCCCGCGUCGCGCCAAAGGCCAGCCGACGCCAUGGCCCGCGCCCACGCCUAUAAAGCCCACUCAGGCGUCGACCAUACCCUUCCACGCACGCUCAACCUCACCGGAGCUCAAACUCACCGUCGGUUGCCCGUGCACGGCGUGUCCGCGGCCACCCGAGCCCCUGCCGCCGUAGACCGGCCAACCAAGCCUUUCCCGACCCCGUCCAGCCCUCGGAGAAGACUGAGCACACCUCUGUGAAGCUCCCCGAGCGAGGAAUCGAAGUCUGCUUCGCCGAAGAGGCCAGUCCACGGUCGCCGGAGUUCACAACCCCGCCGGAGUGCGUGGACCGGGUAAUCCACUGAACCAUUUUUCGAUUCCUUGUGCACACAGUCUCUACAUCAUCUCGUGAAGCUCACCGUGCCAAUGGAUUGAACUAGAUCGCCGUGAUUUGGCCGGCACACCCACCGCCGACGAGGACACCCGCCUGCGCACGUGGACCGUGCGAUUCCAGCCAUCCCCGCCGUCGAGCCGUACAUCGCUGUGACCGCCAGAGCCUCCCCGAGCCAGCCCUGCCCCUCGCCAGACCUUUCUCGCCGCCGGUAAGCCGCGCCGCCCUUUUUUUCCCGCGGGUACUGUUUACAUUAGGGGAAGGACCUCGGGGAAGAAGAAGGAAAGGUCAGGGGUUUUUUGAACUGUCGGUGACUCAAAUGAAUAGUAACGCGGGGGUAUAACUGAGAGAGUUAGUUUGGAAAUAACCCAGGGUCCUCGAUGCAAAGUAGUUUUCCAGGAAACCCUUAUUUAAAUCUGAUUUAAAUUUUGACAGAACUUGAAUAAUCCAUAACUUCUGUUUUAUUCAUCCAAAUUUAGUCAAACCAAUUUUGUCAGACUUUAAAUAAUGUAAACUACUUAGGAAAAAUAUAAAACCCUUAUGUACUACAGAAAACUUUAGGGUUCUGAUUUAAUUAUUGUUUUGGCCAAAAGCUAAAUAAUAAGAAGAAAAACAGUUGCACUAUUUGACUAGGUUUAGGAAAAUUUGGAGAAGUUUAUAUCCACCUACUGACCUGUUUAAAAAUGCUAAACCUCUCUGUCUACCCCAUUAAGUUGGUUUUUGUCAUUUAUUUUACAAUAUGCUUAAGGUUAAGAAAAAUAGAAAAGGUGAAUUAAAUAAUGAACCAGAGGGCACCCCUAUUUUUGUUAGAGUACUUAUUCAAUGUAGUUUACUAGAAAAAUCUAUUAUACCCUGGUUUAGUAUAAAAUAAGUAGGAUCCCUUUUAUUUUAAGAAAACAAGGAAAACUUAGAAAAACCCUACAAAAAUAACCCCAAGGUGAAAACACCCCAACCCUUGGGAUAAUUAAUGUUUUGUUAUUAAGAACUUAGGAAAAAUAUGAAAUCUGUUGUUUGACAUUUUUCAAAUAACAAUGUAAUAGAAAGUGCCUUUUUGGCAUUAAACUUUAGAAAAUCAUAACUAAAUAACCAUCCCUUAGCUUUCUGUGAUCUUUGGCACAGAAGCUUAUUAUUACUGUUAAAUGCCAACAAAAAUAACCCUUAGGACAGAACCCACCCCUAAUUAAGAGAUGUAGUGCAAAGUGGCCCAUUUUACACAACUUUUGUUAUUUUUGUCUAAAGCAUAGCCUUUUUAUUUUAAACUUCAAAUUCCUAGAACAGGCUAUAAUGACCCAUGGCAACCCACUGUAAUUUUUACAGAAGUUUUGGAAAAAAAGUUAAACCACUAUUGUAGUUCAAACCUACACUAGAAACCAUAAAUAGAAAAUAAAGAAAGGGAAAAAUGAAUAAUAGGAAUUAGUGUCAUCCUAAAACCCUUUAUAACUUGUCCACUGAAAUAUAUAAAGGCAAUACCAAUUCACUAUGCCUAGCCCUAACAAAACCUAAACCUAGAGUGAUAAGCAUAAACCACUAAAAGCCACGUAUGACCCAGAAACCCUAAGUUACUCAUUAACUUAGUUUUUCUUCUCUUAGCAUAAUGUUAUUAAAUCCUGCAUAAUCAUGACAUACAUGUUCAUUGCAUUUAGAUAGACUGUAACCUUGCUGACGGAGAGUACAUCCUUGUGCCGGAGCAAGGAGCUGCUCAGGAGGUAGCCCCGGAUCCAGCACCCGAGCCUGCACCAGAGGAUCUGCCUGCCACAGCCUUGGAAGGCAAGCCCCGGUUUAUGCAUAACCUGUUAAUUAUGCUAUUUUAAUAUACUUAAUGAUUGUAGGAUUGAUUGUGCACUUAAGUGUAGGAGUUGUUUGAAACCCUAGUUGCAUGAUCUCAGGAAUCCCAUUCAGAUGAAUACUAGUAUGCUAAGUCGAGUAGCUGCUUUAUUAAUUAGGAUCUCGGUAGAAGUCGAGUGAUUUUUCUAGCACUCGCGCGAGGACAGGAAUUGGCUGUAUCCACUUUCUUAUCAUAUUGAUGUUGGUUUGUGGGCAACAAUCCAUGGGGAUUGGUUGUCUACAGGAUAAAAAUUGGAAUAAGGAUUAAGGUGUGGUACCGUGAGUCAAGCGUUUGAACGUACUAAGCACAUGCCGAGAAAUAUGGUAAAUCGGUAAGCCUAGUACCUGAUUGAACCUGGCAGUAGACUUUACCCCUCACGCGACCUAAGAUGUGGUCUCCCAUUCCGGUUAUGGUGGGUACAAGUGCGGUCACUGCACGACGGCAGUCGGGGUCAGUGAGGCAUUGUACACCAAGGCGGUGAGCCCUGAUCUGCUGACGGGGAAUCGAUGGGGACGGUUGAUGUGUGAGGGGACGGAGUGCCCCUACAUGUCGUGUGUUUAGGUUUAACUUGCAAGGAUGAAAACUCGAUUCGAAUCGUCUGCUUCUCGCAGCUAAUGAGACUGCUUGAUCCAUGCUGCUACAUUGAGUAACAAGUGGAAAUGUGAUGAGUUGACAAAAGAGGUUGAUUGCUAAAAUGUUUGAUACCAUGUAUGAGUAGAUAGUACACUUUUAGCCUUAAGAGAGUCACACUUAAAUUUGACAAAGUUAAAACUUGACUUAGAAACUCAGCUAGUGCUUUUGGCAACCAAACCCCACAGCCAAACAGCUGCAUGUCUAGAGGUAGAGGAGUAGACUCCUCACACCGGGUAAGUAUAGCUGAGUAUUAGUAUACUCAGCCUUGCUUGUGGCAUAAUUUUACAGGUUCUCUGGAGGACAUGGUUGCUGGAGUGACUUGGCCGUCCAUCUUGCCACCGGGUUGGACUGUCGAGUGGGACCCUACCUCGGCUGAGGAGGAGCAUGAGGAGUGAUGGGACAGGCUUCCCCAUCUCUCUAUUUAUUUACCGUUAGUUUUAUUCCGCUGCACUUCGAACAAUGAUGACUACUUUUGCAAAACUCCGAUGAUGUAAUAAUUUAAUACUCCUUAAUGCUUGGUUUUAUGCUUUAUUGUAUUUGCUCUGUGACUCACCAUCGAGUGAGAUUGUGGUACUUGAUCCUGUCAGUGGCCUUGUCGGACUAGAUCUGAGGGAUUGACGGGUUAUUCCCAUUUAAGUGUGGUCUAGCCUCUAAGGCGGGACUUAGGCACUUAAGUUGGAAUAAUUCGGGCAGUUCCGCCAGAGCUGGUAUCGGAGCUUGUACCACCACAGAGGAAUCAAUAAAAUAUAAAUAUCAUCCUUUUCCGAAGUAAAACUUGAUAGAAACAAAUGUUGGAUAGAUCGUAGGACGAUCAGGAUAGAUUUAGGAC
Long non-coding RNA from Zea mays, 5571 nucleotides. RefSeq lists it as uncharacterized. The transcript has 3 exons. The record is from RefSeq and is a predicted model, not a curated record. Lineage: Eukaryota; Viridiplantae; Streptophyta; Magnoliopsida; Poales; Poaceae.